CGCGCGCCUGAGCGCGGCUUUCGGGGCUGCGGCGGGAGGGGGCGGGAGAGGCGCGGCCGUUGGGCGCCCCCGGGCGCGUGCAUGAGGCGCAAUGGCGGGAGCGGGCGGGCGGUCCGUGAGGGGAAGGGGGUCGAGCACCAUCCCAUUCGAGCUGAGGCGCCGCUUCCGAGGGAGAUGGGGCACCCUCUGUGUGGGGGCCGUGUGGCAAUGGCGGGCAUUACCCCACAGGUCCCUCCCUCUCUCUGGGAGGGAGGGGAGUGCAGCAGAUUAUCUCAGCUGUAGAGUGGGCCCUGUGAGCGGCAGGAGCACCAGCCCUCGGUGGGUGUUUGCCGUCCCUUACCCCAGCAGCCCUAUGCUCUCCACCAGAGCCUGUGCAGAGUGCGAGUGAGGAACACCAGGAGCCUGCAUUUUGUGAUCUGCAGCAGCCAUCCCCAGUGCCGGAGAGCAAUCCCCAGCGUCCAGACCCGGGUGACCACUCCCAGGAAAGACUUUCUGGAUUUGUUCAUCUCUUCAGAGUGGUGAAAGAGUUUUGUUGUCAUCUGGUGUUGUUAAUUGUUUUGGUGCUGGGGAGUGCUUUGUUCGUGAAAUAAACAGGUUCUUUUCC
Non-coding RNA from Taeniopygia guttata (zebra finch), 604 nucleotides. NCBI's taxonomy places the organism in Eukaryota, Metazoa, Chordata, Aves, Passeriformes, Estrildidae. The record is from RefSeq and is a predicted model, not a curated record.